AUGGGUGGGGAAGCUGGGUAAAGGGCGCUCCAGUAGCAUGGAGCAGCUUAGCUUCCAGCCCCGGGGUGUCCCCCCGGCCUUUCCUGCCCCCAGCUCCAGCCCCAGUCCUGCACGCCCAGAACCCAGCCAACUGAGGGGUCACCCUUUAAGCAGCUGAGGAAAUCGUCAUCAGUCCUAAAUGUACAGUCCUCCAAGAAGAAGGGAGACGGCUCCAGUGCAUACACACCUGGAGAUCAGCCCAGCAGCCCUGCUCUCAGGUGUGUAUGUUGAAGAGAUGGGCGACAGCAGCACAGUGAAGAUGUACGGGGGGGCUGCUGGGGGUGGGAGACGAGCUGCUGGAGGUGAACUGUGAGAAGGUGGCCGGCCUCAGUCUGGACCUGGUGACACGCCUCUUGACCCAGGAGAACAUAGCCUCUGUCCGCGUGCUCCGACACAGGAGGCUCCCCCCUCCUCGCUACACAACCUGAGGACCGCCGGUCACCGUGGUGACACCAUGGCAACCGGCAAUGCCAUGGAAACCCACAAUGUAAUGGCAAUCAGACACCACAGCAACCACAAACACAAUGGAAAGCUGGGGUGUUUGGGGUAUGACAGAGGGGCAGUGAGUGAGACUGGCUCAAUGACUGUGAAUGUGUCUAUGGCCGCUUGCUUUGGUCAUAGUGACUUCUCUCAGAAAUGUUGCGUUAUUCUUCUGAAGACACGUCAAGAUGUUUGACACGAUUGGGUCAUUUUUCUAAGUGGUUCAGAUGGAGUUGCUAUUAGAGCAGAAGCUGUCUCACAUUUCCUCAUGUCCUGUUAUAUAUUUUUCCUAGAAUUGUUUGGCCUUAGGUGCUCCUUACUUUCACUGUUGAAAACAUAACCAGCAGUGCCAAAAUAAACAUUAUCAUUACAGGUAAUGCACAAAGCUAUCAGCUGCUCACACAGCAACAAUAGUCUGGUAGGAGAUUCUGUUAAAUACCUCACACGAAUCUCCUCCAUUCUAUGCAUCUUGACUGAGGUCAUCUUUAUGCAAUUAAAUCCUAUUUUUAUUGUGGUAAUUGGUUUAGUUAGAAACCAGACCUGGAAUUGAGAUAAUAAAUGUAUGGGUUAGAAACAGA
Oncorhynchus mykiss (rainbow trout) is the source of this 1097-nucleotide non-coding RNA. Lineage: Eukaryota; Metazoa; Chordata; Actinopteri; Salmoniformes; Salmonidae. The record is from RefSeq and is a predicted model, not a curated record.